Molecule: long non-coding RNA, 1359 nt
Filed under: Felis catus (domestic cat)
Lineage: Eukaryota; Metazoa; Chordata; Mammalia; Carnivora; Felidae
Description: lncRNA (ENSFCAG00000049780.1)
Source: RNAcentral
UUGGGGAGGGGAGCAGAGCAUGAGCAGGGGCGGGGCAGAGAGAAAGAGAGAGAGAAUCCCAAGCAGGAUCUGUGUGUCAGCACAGAGCCUGACGUGAGGCUCGAACUCACGAACCUUGAGAUCACGAUCUGAGCUGAAAUCAAGAGUUGGACACUUCACCAACGUAGCCGCUACCGAGGUGCCGGGGAGGACAUCAGUACCUCCUUCUUAAUGUUGCUGUGCCUCGAACGUGAAUCUGCAGAAACCCUCCAUGUGAAGACAGAAGCUUUCUGUGGAUUAAAUGUCGCUUGUGGACGGGGCUGGGUGAGCUCAGGGCCAGCCAAGAAUUCCCCGUGUUCGCUUUCCGGCAGCCUCCUCUCCGGUCCUCUGCCCGUGCCCACGAGGCUCACAGCUCCUACAAGGUGUCCUCGGAAUCCAUUCUGGAGAAAACAGUCAGGACUCAAAAGCAAAGCCCUUUCCCCUAAACUCUGUCCUCGAUGAGAAACGAGAAGGUUGAACGGUUGGAGAGCAUCUGACACACUCCAGGCUUUGUUUUCUUUGCCUUCUUUGGAGAUUGAGAAGAACUUCGUCCUUAGCUUCCAGAGAGAGACAACGGGGCCAUAGUUCCCUGAUCUUUCCCAGCAAGAUGGUAAUGGGAGUGUCUGAACUCCGCCCAGAGCUGUGGCUCCUGUGGGGCAAAGUCUGUUUCCUCCCAAAUAACCCAGCUGAGGAAAUGUCCCCAGUCAGUUCUCCACUCCUGUCUUACGUUAUCAGAAAGACUUCAUACAGAUGACCCUCCCCUGUGUUCUCACCUAUUUCCAGGCACACAGAAGAGUAGCGGUGACCCUGAUAGGAAGUGUUUUAUUCUGACUUAUCAAGCAUUCACCAUGGACCAGAGACUGCUUGAGCAAUUUCCAUGCGUUAACUUAAUCUAAUCUUAACCACGACCCUAGGAGGUAGGCUCUCCAGAUGGCAUCUGGCUCCAGAGCUCACUCUGUUUCCCAUGAGAAAGCAUUGUUUGGGACAUGUCAGAAUAAUAACAAUUGACACACACCACAAAACGUCCUAGGAAGCCUUAAAAAGUGUUUCCAGAGAACUCCUCUUGUUUCCCCUUCGUCACCAUCCGUGAGAUGAGACGUCCUUUCUCCUCCCGUCCGCACUAUCUAUCUCCAGCGUCGGGAUGAGGGAGAGCAGCCGGGGAGAGGUGGAGGGCCAGCCUGGCCUCGCCGGUGUUUGCAGGGGUGAUGUCUGGCUGCUACUGGGUGCUCUGGCCGCCGGGGCAAGGUCCGCAGCCUGCAUCACCCAACACGGUGUCAGAAUCCGGUCCCCUGCUUGGCGUCUUCCCAAACUCAAGCAAGCCAAAAAGAAACUCAUGAUCUC